Oikopleura dioica is the source of this 73-nucleotide transfer RNA. It matches the Rfam family "tRNA". Rfam says of the family: Transfer RNA (tRNA) molecules are approximately 80 nucleotides in length. Their secondary structure includes four short double-helical elements and three loops (D, anti-codon, and T loops). Further hydrogen bonds mediate the characteristic L-shaped molecular structure. tRNAs have two regions of fundamental functional importance: the anti-codon, which is responsible for specific mRNA codon recognition, and the 3' end, to which the tRNAs corresponding amino acid is attached (by aminoacyl-tRNA synthetases). tRNAs cope with the degeneracy of the genetic code in two manners: having more than one tRNA (with a specific anti-codon) for a particular amino acid; and 'wobble' base-pairing, i.e. permitting non-standard base-pairing at the 3rd anti-codon position. Lineage: Eukaryota; Metazoa; Chordata; Appendicularia; Copelata; Oikopleuridae. The record is from Rfam.
GGCCGCGUGGCCUAAUGGAUAUGGCGUCUGACUUCGAAUCAGGAAGUUGUGGGUUCGAGUCCCAUCGUGGUCA